RNAcentral lists this long non-coding RNA (243 nucleotides) under Hordeum vulgare. RNAcentral describes it as "long non-coding RNA (HVUL_LNC000768)". Lineage: Eukaryota; Viridiplantae; Streptophyta; Magnoliopsida; Poales; Poaceae. The record is from RNAcentral.
UCGAGCUCUGUCCCAGGAAUCACACGGUGAUCGUCGAGGUCGUGCGGUUCCUCGAGCUCUGUCCCAGGAAUCACACGGUGAUCGUCGAGGUCGCGCGGUUCCUCGAGCUCUGUCCCAGGAAUCACACGGUGAUCGUCGAGGUCGCGCGGUUCCUCUUCCUCCGGCCGUUCUAGAAUCUGGAUGUCGUUUCCGGCAGGGUUCGCUUGCAGCCCUGCCCCUGCAGGUACUACGUCGAAACAAACG